RNAcentral lists this unclassified non-coding RNA (470 nucleotides) under Hevea brasiliensis (rubber tree). The record is from RNAcentral. Lineage: Eukaryota; Viridiplantae; Streptophyta; Magnoliopsida; Malpighiales; Euphorbiaceae.
UUAUUAUUAUUAUUAUUAUUUUCAUUUUCAUUUGUUUCCACUACUAGUUAGAGUUAAGUGACAUCAUCAGCCAUUGGCUCUAGCAAUGAUAGUAAGCUUAUAAAUUUUCUUCUCUGAGUUAUGGUCUAAAAUUGGGGUAGAGGUUAUUUGUGCUUGCAAGGUAUUAUAUGUGUGUACAGAAAGUAGCAAAUAAAAGAAGAAAAAUCCAAAUAGACAACUAAUUAGCCAAACUGUUUCCCUGAAUUUGUAGCUCUGAGACAUUCCAACCUUUUAGCUCUCUUUGACUUCGAGGAUGAAAUAGCUCCCUUGUUGACAUUGUAACUAGCAUGGGACCAAACUAAUAGGCAAUAAUAAGCAUUAAAUUCAGAGGAAGAUGCAUCAAUUAAACAGAGUUGAAAUUAUAUCCUAAAACAUACUUAAGUGAAUGCAGUCUGACAGCUGCUUUAUCUUGAUCCUGCUUUUGUUUGAUU